RNAcentral lists this non-coding RNA (23 nucleotides) under Arabidopsis thaliana (thale cress). The record is from RNAcentral. Lineage: Eukaryota; Viridiplantae; Streptophyta; Magnoliopsida; Brassicales; Brassicaceae.
ACUUCAACUUUGUGUCAAGUCCC